Molecule: non-coding RNA, 104 nt
Organism: Morus notabilis
Lineage: Eukaryota; Viridiplantae; Streptophyta; Magnoliopsida; Rosales; Moraceae
Source: Rfam
GGGAUGUGAUGAGUGGGUUGGACUCGCUUUAACAAUGCGAGAUGGGUGUCCGCUCUUGCCUGGUUACGACACACGGACACUCACAUCUUAACCGAUCUGAUCCC